UACGGAGGGGGCUAGCGUUGUUAGGAAUUACUGGGCGUAAAGCGCGCGUAGGCGGAUUGUUAAGACGGGGGUGAAAUCCCGGGGCUCAACCCCGGAACUGCCUUCGAUACUGGCAAUCUGGAGUUCGAGAGAGGUGAGUGGAAUUCCGAGUGUAGAGGUGAAAUUCGUAGAUAUUCGGAGGAACACCAGUUGCGAAGGCGGCUCACUGGCUCGAUACUUACGCUGAGGUGCGAAAGCGUGGGGAGCAAACAGG
Molecule: ribosomal RNA, 253 nt
Filed under: uncultured bacterium
Lineage: Bacteria
Description: partial 16S ribosomal RNA
Rfam family: Bacterial small subunit ribosomal RNA
Source: RNAcentral